RNAcentral lists this ribosomal RNA (1888 nucleotides) under Clostridioides difficile. Its description in RNAcentral is "partial 23S ribosomal RNA". It matches the Rfam family "Bacterial large subunit ribosomal RNA", at positions 1017 to 2925 of the family's 2925-position model. The record is from RNAcentral. Lineage: Bacteria; Bacillati; Bacillota; Clostridia; Peptostreptococcales; Peptostreptococcaceae.
GGGCAACAGCCCAGAUCGUCAGCUAAGGUCCCUAAAUGUAAGUUAAGUGGUAAAGGAUGUGGGAUUGCACAGACAACCAGGAUGUUGGCUUAGAAGCAGCCACUCAUUCAAAGAGUGCGUAAUAGCUCACUGGUCGAGUGAUCCUGCGCCGAAGAUUUCCGGGGCUAAAACUUACUACCGAAGCUACGGCAUCAGUAAUGAUGGGUAGGGGAGCUUCCCAUACGGGUUGAAGCAUGACCGUAAGGACAUGUGGACAGUAUGGGAGUGAGAAUGUUGGCAUGAGUAGCGAGAUGUGGGUGAGAAUCCCACAGGCCGUAAACCCAAGGUUUCCAGGGGAAGGUUCGUCCGCCCUGGGUUAGUCGGGACCUAAGCUGAGGCCGAAAGGCGUAGGUGAUGGACAACAGGUUGAUAUUCCUGUACUACCGAUAACCGUUUGAGAGAAGGGAUGACACAGUAGGAUAAGCUAAGCACACUGUUGGUUAUGUGUGCCCAAGCAUUGAGGCAGUCAAAGUAGGCAAAUCCGCUUUGAUAAUGCUGGGAUGUGAUGGGGAGCGAAAUUUAGUAGCGAAGUAGCUGAUUUCACACUGUCAAGAAAAGUCUCUAUCGAGGUUAAAGGUACCCGUACCGCAAACCGACACAGGUGGGUGAGGAGAGUAUCCUAAGGCCAGCGAGAGAACUGUUGUUAAGGAACUCGGCAAAAUGACCCCGUAACUUAGGGAUAAGGGGUGCCACCAUCAGGUGGCCGCAGAGAAUAGGCCCAAGCGACUGUUUACCAAAAACAUAGGUUUCUGCUAAGUCGCAAGACGAUGUAUAGGAGCUGACGCCUGCCCGGUGCUGGAAGGUUAAGGGGAUCUGUUAGAGCAAUCGAAGCAGUGAACUUAAGCCCCAGUAAACGGCGGCCGUAACUAUAACGGUCCUAAGGUAGCGAAAUUCCUUGUCGGGUAAGUUCCGACCCGCACGAAAGGCGUAACGAUUUGGGCACUGUCUCAACAACAGACUCGGUGAAAUUGUAAUUCCGGUGAAGAUGCCGGAUACCUGCGACAGGACGGAAAGACCCCAUGGAGCUUUACUGUAGCUUGACAUUGGGUCUUGGUACUACAUGUACAGGAUAGGUGGGAGGCUUUGAAACCAGGACGCCAGUUUUGGCGGAGCCAUCCUUGGGAUACCACCCUUGUAGUACUGGGACUCUAACCAUAGGCCAUGAAUCUGGUCUUGGGACACUGUCAGGUGGGCAGUUUGACUGGGGCGGUCGCCUCCCAAAAGGUAACGGAGGCGCUCAAAGGUUCUCUCAGUACGGUCGGAAAUCGUACGUAGAGUGUAAAGGCAAAAGAGAGCUUGAUUGCAAGACAUACAGGUCGAGCAAGGAUGAAAAUCGGACUUAGUGAUCCGGUGGUUCUGCGUGGAAGGGCCAUCGCUCAACGGAUAAAAGCUACCCUGGGGAUAACAGGCUUAUCUCCCCCAAGAGUCCACAUCGACGGGGAGGUUUGGCACCUCGAUGUCGGCUCAUCACAUCCUGGGGCUGUAGUAGGUCCCAAGGGUUGGGCUGUUCGCCCAUUAAAGUGGUACGCGAGCUGGGUUCAGAACGUCGUGAGACAGUUCGGUCCCUAUCCGUCGCAGGCGUAGGAAAUUUGAGAAGACCUGUCCUUAGUACGAGAGGACCGGGAUGGACGUACCUCUGGUGUACCAGUUGUCCUGCCAAGGGCAUGGCUGGGUAGCUAUGUACGGAAUGGAUAAGCGCUGAAAGCAUCUAAGCGCGAAGCCAACUUCAAGAUAAGAUUUCCCACCGCAAGGGUAAGACCCCAGAAAGACUAUCUGGUUGAUAGGUCGAAGGUGUAAGUGCAGCAAUGUAUUUAGCUUAUCGAUACUAAUAGGUCGAGGACUUGACCAA